GUUGUAGUCAUCAUCGUUGUAGUCGCCAUAUUAUUUGUUAGAAGAAGACGUCACACGUCCGGAGCCACGCAGGAUGACAUACUACACACAGUGUCAUCAGAAACGUCACCAGCUGAUGACCACACACAGUACCAUGAACCAGUGACACAAGGUGUGUACGUCCAUGUGCUGAAAGACAAG
Long non-coding RNA from Haliotis rubra (blacklip abalone), 180 nucleotides. RefSeq lists it as uncharacterized. The record is from RefSeq and is a predicted model, not a curated record. Lineage: Eukaryota; Metazoa; Mollusca; Gastropoda; Lepetellida; Haliotidae. The transcript is spliced from 3 exons.